RNAcentral lists this long non-coding RNA (374 nucleotides) under Elaeis guineensis (African oil palm). RNAcentral's name for it is "long non-coding RNA (EGUI_LNC066326)". Lineage: Eukaryota; Viridiplantae; Streptophyta; Magnoliopsida; Arecales; Arecaceae. The record is from RNAcentral.
GAUUAUAAAGGGCUCUACAUCCGCCUUCACCAUGGGCAUCGAUCUUUGUAAGGCACAGGUGGCUCAGUUGCUCUGAAGUCGAUGUAGAUCGUUUGAAUCCCAAGGAGAGCAAAGAUGAGGUUGAGGAAGAUGCUGCAAAUAUCAAUGCCAUUCCCUUAGUGGCACCCGGGCAAACAAGAUAGAGGAUGGUAAGGUAGAUGCUGCUUCUCCCUCGGCAACACCUAUUGAAGAUGAAUCCGGAAGAUGAGACUAAGGUCGGUAGAGCAAACAUUGGCUUAACUUCAGAUGCUAUGCCGGCCAUGGGGCCCGACACCACAACUAAUGUUCCUAUAGAUCAUCAGCUAUGAACCCUAACAUCGAUCUGUUGCAGUGGC